GUGGAGUGCUUGGAAGUGAGAAUGCCGGUAUGAGUAGCGAAAAGAUAGGUGAGAAUCCUAUCCGUCGAAAGCCCAAGGUUUCCUGAGGAAGGCUCGUCCGCUCAGGGUUAGUCGGGACCUAAGCCGAGGCCGAAAGGCGUAGGCGAUGGACAACAGGUUGAUAUUCCUGUACCACCUCGUAUUCGUUUGAACGAUGGGGGGACGCAGAAAGGUAGGGUGAGCGCGCCGCUGGCUGUGCGCGUCGAAGCAUGCGAGGCUGGAACAUAGGCAAAUCCGUGUUCC
This 282-nucleotide ribosomal RNA is filed under the name Shouchella rhizosphaerae. RNAcentral describes it as "partial 23S ribosomal RNA". It matches the Rfam family "Bacterial large subunit ribosomal RNA", at positions 1273 to 1550 of the family's 2925-position model. Lineage: Bacteria; Bacillati; Bacillota; Bacilli; Caryophanales; Bacillaceae. The record is from RNAcentral.